Molecule: ribosomal RNA, 252 nt
Filed under: uncultured bacterium
Lineage: Bacteria
Description: partial 16S ribosomal RNA
Rfam family: Bacterial small subunit ribosomal RNA
Source: RNAcentral
GCAAGUCGAGCGGAAACGAAAAGUAGCUUGCUACUUUGGCGUCAAGCGGCGGACGGGUGAGUAAUGCCUAGGGAACUGCCCAGUCGAGGGGGAUAACAGUUGGAAACGACUGCUAAUACCGCAUACGCCCUACGGGGGAAAGGAGGGGACCUUCGGGCCUUUCGCGAUUGGAUGUACCUAGGUGGGAUUAGCUAGUUGGUGGGGUAAUGGCCUACCAAGGCGACGAUCCGUAGCUGGUCUGAGAGGACGAUC